CUGACAAUAUCAUUAGAAUAAAUAAAUUAGUAACAUUCACUAAUGUUUAAGCUGCACAUUUACCCUAAUAUCAUCAUGUUUUUAUAUUUCAUGUCUAAUGUUAAUGGCUAAUAUAUUAAUAAAUGUCACUGACACAAUAUACACCAAAAACUAUGUAUCAUUCUCACUCUGCAAAGUACAACUGAAACCAGAGGUGUACGGUCCCAUUCAACUUAAGUCUCUGUGCAAAAAAAAAAAAAAAAAUUUAAAUCCAUACUGUUACUACUCCCCAAACCGUUCAGGUAAGAUCUCACAUGUGCAUCUGUAACUAUUAAUAUUCUACAUAAUCUUUCUGCAUGGGGUAUACUGCUUAGUAUUUUAACAGUACAAAGUUUCACUGAAAUCUGUACUAUAGCAAAUCGUAAGUAUUUCAAGGAGAUGUCAUCAGUUUCUCUUCAAGUGUACUCUGAUGGAUAAGACAGCCAGACCUUGGUGUUUUAAGUGAAGGAGGUAGUCCAGCAUCAAGGGACCCAUCACCUGCUUGGGGAGGGGACCUUAUCAAGGCACCACAGGGGGAACCUCUUCUAUUUGACUACAUAGGCAGCCCUGAGCACUGGCGUUUGGGGCGAUUUAGCCAUGGAGCUUCCAUGCUGUGAGGUGGAGUGACUCAGGUUUGGGUGGCACAGCCUGCCAAACUCCUGUGUCAACAGGUUGGGAACCAGGGGGAGCGUAUUGGGCUUGGCCACCAAGAGGGACAGCAGUGUGGUGAACCAAUGGUGCUUUGAUCACGCCGGUACCAUCAGCAUGACCACCGCUUUGUCCUGUUGAAUUUUGAGGAGGACCCUAGAUGUCAAUGGCUCUGGGGGGUGGGGAAACCGUACAGUUGCUGCUCCGUCCAUGACAGGUGGAAAGCAUCCAGCAGGAACUGAAUGAAGCAGAAUUGCAGGCACUUCCUGUUCAAGUGAGUUGCAAUCAGGUUUACCUGGACAUGACCCCACUCUCGGAAGAUGAAGAGACCCACGUCUGCUCCCAGGAGAAAAAGGACUGACUGAGGCAAGCUGUAAGGUCAUUCUGUGUUCCUGGAAGGUACGAUGCUUGUAGGGGAGUAUUAUGAGAAAUACAAAGGUCUCAUAAAACGAUGGCCUCCUGGCACAGGAGAGAGAGGAGUGAGCCCACCACAUCAAACAAUAUAAAACAUCCCUGUGGUGUUGACUGUCAUUACCAGGACAUAUUUGCCUUGCAGGUGAAGCAGGAACACCUGGCAAACAAACCAGAUUGCCCUGGGUUCCCGAAUAUUGUUAUGCAAACACAUGUCCGUGCAAGACCAGAAGCCCUGUGAACACAUGUUCAGAUGCGCACCCCAUCCUGUGUCUGAGGGGUCUGUCACCAGGGUGAUCUCUAGCUGCGGGCCCACAAAUGGGACCCCUGCACACACUAUCUGGGCCUGCAUCCACCAGUCGAGGGACUGCAGGGUUGCCGGCAGCAUGGUGACCAUGCAGUCAAGGAGGUCCCUGCAGGAUGUGAACACAGAUGCCUGCCACGCUUGGAGCAGGCACAGGCAUAGGUGGGCAUGGCACAGGACAUAAGUGCAAGAGGCCAUGUGCCCAAGAAACCUCAUGCAGUUGCCUACCAUUGUAAUUUGGCAUUAUUGCCGCACAGAGAUGAGGCCUGCCAUGGUACUCGGGUAUGGACAUUGUUGCCCGAGCAGAACUGAAAAGGGCCCCAAUGAACUUAAUUCUUUGCAUAAGGAUGAGAGUGGAUUUUGGCACAUUAAGGAUUAGGCCCAGACAGAAAAAUGUGGCCUUGACCAAGUCCAUAUGCUGGAGCACCUGCUCUCUUGACUUGCCCUGGAUCAAACAGUCGUUCAAGUAUGGGAGACUUGCACCCAGUUCAGUUGUAGAAAUGCUGCCACCACCACCACCAUGCACUUGGUGAAGACUUGAAGUGCCAGAGCCAGACCAAAGGGCAAUACCAUGAACUGGUAAUAUCUGUUUGCCACUACAAAACACAGGAGCCGGGAUAAUGUGAAGAUACAAGUCCUUGAGAUUGAGGGCAGCGUACCACUCCCCUGGAUCUGGGAAGGUAUAAUGGAGACCAGGGAGACCAUGCGAAACUGCUUUCUUAUGAAGGUGUUUAAGUUCCUGAGGGCCAGGAUGUGGCACGGACCCCCUCUGGCCUUGAGAAUUAGGAAGUAUCAGGAAUAAAACCCUCAGUCCCUGAAGUGAGACAGAGAAGGCUCCUAAGAUGAGGAGUGAAUGUAGUUCCUGGAGGAAUUACUUGUGAGAAGAGUCGCUGAAGGAGGACAGGGAAGGGGGUUGGUGAGAAGGGAGGGAGCAGAACUAGACAGAGUAUCUCAGUCCUAUCGUGCUCAGGAACCAACAGUCUGAGGUAAUUUGAAUCCAGGCAUGUUAAAAGUAGGACAUUUGGUUCCCAAAGGGAGGGAAGGGACCCAUGACAGUAUCUGGUUCAGGCACACCCUCAAAAGUGAGGCUUAGCCCUGAGAGGCACCCUGGCACUGCAUGGAAGAGGAGUGAAGAGGUCCCCCAGGUAUUACUCCUGCCCCCGUGGCAUCCCUGAUCUUGUCUGGAAGGGCCAGAGAAGCAGCAUGUGGGCUGUUGUGGCCUAAAAUGCCAGUGCUGGGGAUGGAGGGAGGAGCGGGGGCUUCUGGUCCCUUGGGAUUUUAAAAUGACCCUCGAAUAUUUUAGGCUAUGUAAGUGGGAAUCCAUUUUCUCCACAAAGAGGUCCGAACUAUCAAAGGGCAGAUCUUGUAUUGUGUGGUGAACCUCAGGUGGGAGACAAGAAACCUGAAUCUACGAACUGUGGCACAUAGCAAUGCCUAUGGCCAUAGUACAGGCAGCCGAGUCUGCGGAGUCCAGAGCUGCCUAGAGAGCUGUCUUGGAAACUGUGCACUCCUUCUGCACCACUGCCACAAACUCCUGCCUCGCCUCUGUGGACAGUAGCUCCUGAAAUUUGGAGAGAACAUUCCAGGAGGUAAAGUUAUAGCUGCUGAGGAGUGUCUGUUGGAUGGGAACACGGAGCUGAAAACCUCUAGUGAAAUACAUUGUCUGUCCAGAAAAGUCCAGCACCUUAGCUUCCUUAUUCUUAGGUUCAGGCCCCACUGCCCCGACGCUCCUUGAGACUGAUCGUGUCCACCACAAGGGUACCAGGUGUUUGUAACCCCACUGCGGCACAAAGUAGCACGUCUCCGCUCUGUUGGCCCUGGGUGCGAUCGAGGCAAGUCUGCCAGAGCACCUUACUGGAUGUCUGUAUGGACUUGAUAAUUGGGAGGGCAACUCGAGCUGGGUCCUCUGGUGAGAGAACAUCCACAACAGGAUAUGAUUCCUCCACCACUUCCUCAGCUUGGAGGCUAAGAUUUUAAGUCACCCACCAAAGAAGGUCGUGGGGGAGGCCUGUCACCGCCUUGUCUGGAGACGACAAUGACAAACCAAUGGGAGUACAGGAUUAUCCUACAGGGUCCUCCAUAAUUUCUACCUCCAGCAAUUGCUCUGGUGGGGCCUGUCAUGAGUGUGGGUGCCACGACACCUGGUUGCCUGUGGGUCUGGCACCAGAGGGAGGCUGGCAUCACAGAGGAGGACAAUGGUGGUGCCCAAGUGAACAGUGCCAUGGAAGCUGCCCUAGAAGGCAAUCCAUGCCCUUGGUUCUUGUGGUAGGCUCGCAGAGUCCAAAAGGGCCACUGCAUUGGCACCUGCCAUGAGAGGCCAAGAGUGCACCUGUGCUGCCAAGGAGUCUUGGUGCCAGUGCCGGGAAGAGUGCCUGGGUGGUGCCACGAGCAAGAGCGGAACCUAGAAUUCUGGGACACAAAGGACUUUGUGUCAGAACCCGAUGCAUAGUCCGACAUUGCCCACAGGGGAGCAGAGCCCAACAAUGCCAGUGAAUGGUGCCUGGCCAAGUUCUCUUGCUGGCUCUUGGCUUGCCAUGGCACUGGCAAGCGAGAACAAUGCUGCACCGAGGAACCCACCUCGUACAAAGGAGACUAGGACUGGCGAUCCCAUUGCUUAUCCUGGAACUCGCCUUGAGGAACUUCGCCUUUCAGAAAGCUAGGAUUCCCCUUGAAAUCCCAGUUUAGAAACAUCACAUACCAAGUACACAGCUCUCUGGAAGAUGCUGGUGGUUUCCAAG
Non-coding RNA from Pelodiscus sinensis (Chinese soft-shelled turtle), 4119 nucleotides. NCBI's taxonomy places the organism in Eukaryota, Metazoa, Chordata, Testudines, Trionychidae. The record is from RefSeq and is a predicted model, not a curated record.